GGUGGCUCAGUGGUAGAGCACUUGCCUUGCAUGCAUGAGGCCCUGGGUUCGAUUCCUCAGUACCACCA
Molecule: transfer RNA, 68 nt
Filed under: Dipodomys ordii (Ord's kangaroo rat)
Lineage: Eukaryota; Metazoa; Chordata; Mammalia; Rodentia; Heteromyidae
Rfam family: tRNA
About the family: Transfer RNA (tRNA) molecules are approximately 80 nucleotides in length.
Source: Rfam by way of RNAcentral